This 639-nucleotide ribosomal RNA is filed under the name uncultured Actinomycetes bacterium. RNAcentral describes it as "bacterial SSU rRNA". It matches the Rfam family "Bacterial small subunit ribosomal RNA", at positions 232 to 885 of the family's 1533-position model. Lineage: Bacteria; Bacillati; Actinomycetota; Actinomycetes. The record is from RNAcentral.
CGCGGCCUAUCAGCUUGUUGGUGAGGUAACGGCUCACCAAGGCAUCGACGGGUAGCUGGUCUGAGAGGACGAUCAGCCACACUGGGACUGAGACACGGCCCAGACUCCUACGGGAGGCAGCAGUAGGGAAUCUUGCGCAAUGGGCGAAAGCCUGACGCAGCAACGCCGCGUGGGGGAUGAAUGCCUUCGGGUUGUAAACCCCUUUCAGCAGGGACGAAAAUGACGGUACCUGCAGAAGAAGCUCCGGCCAACUACGUGCCAGCAGCCGCGGUAAUACGUAGGGAGCGAGCGUUGUCCGGAAUUAUUGGGCGUAAAGAGCUCGUAGGCGGUUCAGUAAGUCGGGUGUGAAAACUCAAGGCUCAACCUUGAGACGCCACUCGAUACUGCUGUGACUUGAGUCCGGUAGAGGAGUGUGGAAUUCCUGGUGUAGCGGUGAAAUGCGCAGAUAUCAGGAGGAACACCAGCGGCGAAGGCAGAUCUCUGGGCCGUAACUGACGCUGAGGAGCGAAAGCGUGGGGAGCGAACAGGAUUAGAUACCCUGGUAGUCCACGCCGUAAACGGUGGGAACUAGAUGUGGGGUCCGUUCCACGGAUUCCGUGUCGCAGCUAACGCAUUAAGUUCCCCGCCUGGGGAGUACGG